Molecule: ribosomal RNA, 497 nt
Filed under: uncultured bacterium
Lineage: Bacteria
Description: partial 16S ribosomal RNA
Rfam family: Bacterial small subunit ribosomal RNA
Source: RNAcentral
GAUGAACGCUGGCGGCGUGCCUAAUACAUGCAAGUCGAGCGAACGGACGAGAAGCUUGCUUCUCUGAUGUUAGCGGCGGACGGGUGAGUAACACGUGGAUAACCUACCUAUAAGACUGGGAUAACUUCGGGAAACCGGAGCUAAUACCGGAUAAUAUUUUGAACCGCAUGGUUCAAAAGUGAAAGACGGUCUUGCUGUCACUUAUAGAUGGAUCCGCGCUGCAUUAUCUAGUUGGUAAGGUAACGGCUUACCAAGGCAACGAUGCAUAGCCGACCUGAGAGGGUGAUCGGCCACGCUGGAACUGAGACACGGUCCAGACUCCUACGGGAGGCAGCAGUAGGGAAUCUUCCGCAAUGGGCGAAAGCCUGACGGAGCAACGCCGCGUGAGUGAUGAAGGUCUUCGGAUCGUAAAACUCUGUUAUUAGGGAAGAACAUAUGUGUAAGUAACUGUGCACAUCUUGACGGUACCUAAUCAGAAAGCCACGGCUAACUACGUG